UACGAAGGGGGCUAGCGUUGCUCGGAAUCACUGGGCGUAAAGCGCACGUAGGCGGAUUGCUAAGUCAGGGGUGAAAUCCUGGAGCUCAACUCCAGAACUGCCCUUGAUACUGGCGGUCUCGAGUCCGGGAGAGGUGAGUGGAACUGCGAGUGUAGAGGUGAAAUUCGUAGAUAUUCGCAAGAACACCAGUGGCGAAGGCGGCUCACUGGCCCGAUACUGACGCUGAGGCACGAAAGCGUGGGGAGCAAACAGGG
Molecule: ribosomal RNA, 254 nt
Filed under: uncultured bacterium
Lineage: Bacteria
Description: partial 16S ribosomal RNA
Rfam family: Bacterial small subunit ribosomal RNA
Source: RNAcentral